This 1296-nucleotide long non-coding RNA is filed under the name Athene cunicularia (burrowing owl). RNAcentral describes it as "lncRNA (ENSACUG00000002165.1)". The record is from RNAcentral. Lineage: Eukaryota; Metazoa; Chordata; Aves; Strigiformes; Strigidae.
CAAAGUUCCCGGUUCAAUCACUUAUUUUGCUUGUUUCUGUCUUCAUUCAUCCUUGCAGCUCAUCCUUGUACCUCUCCACUCAGCGGGUCAUGGAGAAGUUGCAUCAUCCAUGUGCUCCAUGGUUGGAUCCAUGGCUCAGACAGUGAAAGAAAGAACAUGCUGGUUGAACCUAAGCAGGAUCCCCUUUUAUAUCCUUUUGAACACCUUUUAUUUUCCAGUUCAUAGGCUGAUUCUGGAUGCUUUAGCAGGGAAGGCAUGAAAUCUUGGGUUUUCUUCUGGCUUUGCUACCGGACCAUCGUGUGGCCUUGGGUCUGGGGAAAAAAAAGAAACAGGACUCAGGUGGAGAAUGAAUGCUUUGAAGAGGUUUCCACCCCAUAACCUAAGUCAUGGUCCCUGCCUGCACACCAGCCUUCUCCACAAUACAGAUCCUACAGCCUGCAGAUGCUUGGGCCAAAUGCUCCUACCUGUGUGCACGCCUCUUUGGGUUUGCUGUCGCAUUGACAACACUGACUAUUCAUGGAAAAGUGUGGAUUCAGACACAAGGAGGCAGAUACCAAAACCACAAUAGGACAAAUAUGAUCUUUACUGGCUCGGAGGAAAGAAAACUUGUGCAAAAAUUUUAAUGAAUGAAAAUGCUUUCCCUGUGAGAAAUGCUUUCCCAUUAGGAUCCUGUACGAUGAAGUGCAACGACUCUCUGCUGUGAAUAAUUUUUGCCUGGUCUGUCGUCUCUUCCAAAUUAUUUACUACGUGCAAAGUCAGCCAGAAUUCAGAAGAAAUUGGGCUCGUCGUGACGUAACGGGAGAUGUGUGGGAACAAAAGGGCAUUCCUUUAUCCUUGCCUGCAACCGGAGCUCGGCAGCUUUGAAAGCUUCUCAAGUCUUCCACCAAACUCCUACUCCCUCUUUUCUUUUUUUUUUUUUUUUUUUUUUUUUUUUUUUUUUUUUUCACCUCAGCUUCUCUCUUAGGGUAAAAGCGGUCGUCCUAGGAAGUCAGCAGAGCUGCCCCGAAACACCACCGCUCCCCCUGCCCCGGGUACGGCUUUGGAGGAUGUUUUUAAAGGCAGAUCAAGUUGUAAAUGGCAGGGAUUUCUUCCAACGGCCCUUGUCGGGCUGGCAGACCCCGGAUUUACACUCGUCCUCACCGUCCUGCAUGGGGCUGGAUCUUGGCGGCUGCCCUGAAUAGGGCUUUUGCAGGAGAUGGGAUUACUCACACGAGUAACAGCUUGCAGGGAUUUGGCCUCCCGUUCCUGCUCAAAACACAUGAUUUUUUUUAAGCGUAAUUAAAGUGGUGCUAUAAG